AUUGGCAAACGGGUGAAUAACACAUGAGUAAUCUACCUUCGAGUGGGAAAUAACCCCGAGAAAUCGGGACUAAUAGCCCAUAAGACCAAUUCCUAAAAAGCUCCGCUGGAAGAUGAGCUCACGGCCUAUCAGCUAGUUGGUGAGGUAACGGCCCACCAAGGCUAAGACGGGUAGCCGACCUGAAAGGGUGAUCGGCCACACUGGAACUGAGACACGGUCCAGACUCCUACGGGAGGCAGCAGUGGGGAAUUUUGGACAAUGGGGGCAACCCUGAUCCAGCAACGCCGCGUGACGGAUGAAGGUCCUCGGAUUGUAAACUUCUUUUGCAGGGGACGAAUGACGGUACUCUGCGAAUAAGCCACGGCUAACUACGUGCCAGCAGCCGCGGUAAUACGUAGGUGGCAAGCGUUACUCGGAAUUACUAGGCGUAAAGCGCAGGUAGGUGGUUGGGUAAGUCUGUGAUGAAAUCUCCCGGCUUAACUGGGAGGGGUUUAUGGAAAC
RNAcentral lists this ribosomal RNA (501 nucleotides) under uncultured soil bacterium. RNAcentral describes it as "bacterial SSU rRNA". It matches the Rfam family "Bacterial small subunit ribosomal RNA", at positions 94 to 633 of the family's 1533-position model. The record is from RNAcentral.